GAGCUACCUAUUUAAGAAUGUUAGUUCUUACAGUUAAUGUAAAAUAUAUUCCCUUUAGAUAUUUAGGUAGGGGCGAAACACCUACAAUUCUUUGGAUAUCUGGAUUUUAAUUAAAUGUGUUUAGCACAGAAUUAUUUUUGAGAUAAGAGAUGUUAAGAUCUCUUAUGAUUUUAAAUUUUAUUAAAUUCUUUUUAUGGAGUAAUAUCCAGUAGGUUUUAUAAAUUAUAAUCUUUUUUUUGUAACUUAAACUAAUUAGUUAAAUAUAUUAAUAAAUAUGUGUAUAAUAUUUAUUCUGUUUAAAUUAGUAUUACUAUUAAUCUCUUGUUAGGAACUUGGCAAAUAAUAACCCCUCAACUGUUUAUCAAAAACAUAGCUUAAUGAUAUUUUGCUGAUAUUAAGUGUCUUCUGCCCGGUGUGCUUUAAUAAACGGCCGCGGUACCCUGACCGUGCUAAGGUAGCAUAAUCAAUUGGCCUUUAAUUGGGGUCUAGUAUCAACGAAGGUUAUUGGGGGGUUGCUGUCUUGUAAGGGUUUUAUAUAAUUUUCUUUAUGAGGUGAAAAUUCCUCUUUUACUAUUUGUUAGACAAGAAGACCCUUAGAGUUUUUAUUAAGAACUCUUUCUUGUGGGUUUACAUUUUUGUUGGGGCGACAAGGUAACAAAUAGUAUAACUUACCUUUUAGGUUAUAUUUGACAAAUGAUUUUAAGCAAAAUUAAACUACCUAAGGGAUAACAGCGUUAUAAAAUUAUUUGUUUGCGACCUCGAUGUUGGAUUAGGUUACUAAAAGCCUAGAAGGCUUUUAGUUAAGUUCUGUUCGAACAUAUACACCUACAUGAUCUGAGUUCAGACCGGCGAAG
This 854-nucleotide ribosomal RNA is filed under the name Chlamydephorus lawrencei. Its description in RNAcentral is "partial 16S ribosomal RNA". The record is from RNAcentral. Lineage: Eukaryota; Metazoa; Mollusca; Gastropoda; Stylommatophora; Chlamydephoridae.